GCCUCUUCGGCCAUCCGCCGCCGCUGCCGCGCGCGGCCUCUCUGCCAUCCGUCGCCCCGUUCUCCUUCCCCUCCCCAUCCGUCCCAAUCUUCUCUGGCGCCACAUGAAGCCUCCUCAACCUGCAACCUCCUGCCAUCGAGCCCUUCUAAUCUCACUGUACCAUGGACUUAACCGGAACGCCGUCCUGCUAGCCGUGCCCACUUGAGCGAGGAGAGAGUGGUGAGGCGGCUUAGUGAGGCUCAGGACGGUGUCUCGCAUGGCGUCUCGCAUUAUGCCUAAGCAGUGACCGCAUCCACGAUGAUAUUCAGUUCUUUGUCUCAUGUAAGAGUAUUAUGACAUAUGAGAUGCUUGAAUGAAGGGAUCCUUGAUUAAUUUGUCCACAAGUAGCCCAAGGAUUUGGGAGUUUAGGGUUUGUUAUGAGUAGUUAGCUGCCUGUGAUGUGUGCCCAAACAAAUUGUCAUGUAAAUCAUUAUGAACAUUUGAUUUUCUUGUGGCGCCAUCCAAGUGGGCGGAGGCAGCGGCUGCCACCACGGUGUCAUCCUUCUCCCACACCUUCGUCGCGGGACCGGAUUCACAAUGACGCCAUCGCAUCUAGCGACGACGCAAGCUCAUGUGGGUGCCGCAACUUCCGAGGACAUGGGAGUCUCCAUGGGCAGCGAGUACGUGAGCACACUCGCACACCACAGCUCUCAAGGAUGCGAGAGCCACCUCAGCCCGCGAGGACUCGUGAACCAUGCUCAGGUAUAACAGUUGCUCUUUAUGUAGCCUACUCACCCCGUCGUGAAGUUCCAGUCUGAUCUGUAGUAUUCUUUUGCUCUCCUAUUUUGAGGUUGGAUUGUAUGCAAUAACAGUUUGUGUAAA
This is a long non-coding RNA of Triticum dicoccoides, 861 nucleotides long. RefSeq lists it as uncharacterized. Lineage: Eukaryota; Viridiplantae; Streptophyta; Magnoliopsida; Poales; Poaceae. The transcript has 3 exons. The record is from RefSeq and is a predicted model, not a curated record.